This 205-nucleotide ribosomal RNA is filed under the name uncultured bacterium. Its description in RNAcentral is "partial 16S ribosomal RNA". It matches the Rfam family "Bacterial small subunit ribosomal RNA", at positions 1296 to 1500 of the family's 1533-position model. The record is from RNAcentral.
GAUUGUAGGCUGCAACUCGCCUACAUGAAGUCGGAAUUGCUAGUAAUCGCGGAUCAGCAUGCCGCGGCGAAUACGUUCCCGGGCCUUGUACACACCGCCCGUCACACCAUGGGAGUCGGUAACACCCGAAGCCUGUAGUCUAACCGCAAGGGGGACGCAGUCGAAGGUGGGAUUGAUGACUGGGGUGAAGUCGUAACAAGGUAAC